GACGAACGCUGGCGGCGUGCUUAACACAUGCAAGUCGAACGGACAGGCCCUGCUCUUGUGGGGUGCUCGAUUGGCGAAGGGGUGAGUAACACGUGAGUAACCUGCCCUUGUCUUUGGGAUAACUUCACGGAACUCGGGCUAUUACCGGAUAGGAUCUCCUGCUGCAUGGUGGGCGUUGGUAAGAUUCGGCGGUUGUGGAUGGAUUCGCUGCUUAUCAGCUUGUUGGUGAGGUAGUUGCUUACCAAGGCUAUGACGGAUAGCCGGCCUGGGAGGGUUACCGGCCACAUGAGGACUACGAUAGGGCGCAGUAGCGAAUGGGAGGCAGCGGUGGAGAACAUUACGCAAUGGGGGGAAGCGUGAGGCAGCGACGCCGGGUGCGGGAAGACGGGCUUCGGGUUGUAAACAGCUGUCGCCUGUGACGAAGAGUGAGUGACGGUAAUGGGUAAAGAAGCACCGGCUAACUACGUG
Molecule: ribosomal RNA, 468 nt
Filed under: uncultured bacterium
Lineage: Bacteria
Description: partial 16S ribosomal RNA
Rfam family: Bacterial small subunit ribosomal RNA
Source: RNAcentral